GACGAACGCUGGCGGCGUGCCUAAUACAUGCAAGUAGAACGCUGAAGGAGGAGCUUGCUUCUCCGGAUGAGUUGCGAACGGGUGAGUAACGCGUAGGUGACCUGCCUGGUAGCGGGGGAUAACUAUUGGAAACGAUAGCUAAUACCGCAUAAGAGUAGAUGUUGCAUGACAUUUGCUUAAAAGGUGCAAUUGCAUCACUACCAGAUGGACCUGCGUUGUAUUAGCUAGUUGGUGGGGUAACGGCUCACCAAGGCGACGAUACAUAGCCGACCUGAGAGGGUGAUCGGCCACACUGGGACUGAGACACGGCCCAGACUCCUACGGGAGGCAGCAGUAGGGAAUCUUCGGCAAUGGACGGAAGUCUGACCGAGCAACGCCGCGUGAGUGAAGAAGGUUUUCGGAUCGUAAAGCUCUGUUGUAAGAGGAGAACGAGUGUGAGAGUGGAAAGUUCACACUGUGACGGUAUCUUACCAGAAAGGGACGGCUAACUACGUGC
Molecule: ribosomal RNA, 496 nt
Filed under: uncultured Streptococcus sp.
Lineage: Bacteria; Bacillati; Bacillota; Bacilli; Lactobacillales; Streptococcaceae
Description: bacterial SSU rRNA
Rfam family: Bacterial small subunit ribosomal RNA
Source: RNAcentral